UAUCCAGUUAAAAAAAUAUGGCUGUGUACAGGUAACCUAUUGCUGCUAUACUAUAUGUAAAUAAAUAAUUUUCUCUGUAUGGAAAUGCUUUUCUUUCUUCUUUUUUUGCACUACUGGAUCACAAAUGUCCUCUUAACAUAGAUUCCUACGCCAAAGCUGUGGACCGGUGUUGGCGGCUGAGGGACACGUCCAGCAUCCAGACAGAAGAUGAAGCAAGUGUCCAAAAAAGGCAGCGCCGACGCCCAAGGAGGUUCAUGACAGAUUCUUCAAGCGAUAAUGAAUCUGUUGCACGACCAGAUAAACUGUCCAGGAUGGAGCGUGCGUCUGGAAGCCCUGUCUCUCAGCAGAUAACACUUACUCCACCACCUGCAUGAAACCAGCUGGUUGCCCAGAGCAGGAUGAGUCUUUAGUGACCCUACCACGGACUGCCACUUCAU
Molecule: long non-coding RNA, 437 nt
Organism: Etheostoma spectabile (orangethroat darter)
Lineage: Eukaryota; Metazoa; Chordata; Actinopteri; Perciformes; Percidae
Exons: 4
Source: RefSeq, a predicted model, not a curated record